GACGAACGCUGGCGGCGUGCUUAACACAUGCAAGUCGAACGGAAAGGCCCUGCUUUUGUGGGGUGCUCGAGUGGCGAACGGGUGAGUAACACGUGAGUAUCCUGCCCUUGACUUUGGGAUAACUUCAGGAAACUGGGGCUAAUACCGGAUAGGAGCUCUUGCUGCAUGGUGGGGGUUGGAAAGUUUCGGCGGUUGGGGAUGGACUCGCGGCUUAUCAGCUUGUUGGUGGGGUAGUGGCUUACCAAGGCUUUGACGGGUAGCCGGCCUGAGAGGGUGACCGGCCACAUUGGGACUGAGAGACGGCGCAGACGCCUACGGGAGGCAGCAGUGGGGAAUAUUGCACAAUGGGCGGAAGCCUGAGGCAGCAACGCCGCGUGCGGGAUGCCGGCCUUCGGGUGGUAAACCGCUUUCGCCUGUGACGAAGCGUGAGUGACGGUAAUGGGUAAAGAAGCACCGGCUAACUACGUG
Molecule: ribosomal RNA, 468 nt
Filed under: uncultured bacterium
Lineage: Bacteria
Description: partial 16S ribosomal RNA
Rfam family: Bacterial small subunit ribosomal RNA
Source: RNAcentral